Molecule: ribosomal RNA, 275 nt
Filed under: uncultured bacterium
Lineage: Bacteria
Description: partial 16S ribosomal RNA
Rfam family: Bacterial small subunit ribosomal RNA
Source: RNAcentral
GCGUGAGUGAAGAAGGCCUUAGGGUUGUAAAGCUCUUUUGGUGGGGAAGAUAAUGACGGUACCCACAGAAUAAGCCCCGGCUAACUUCGUGCCAGCAGCCGCGGUAAUACGAAGGGGGCUAGCGUUGUUCGGAAUUACUGGGCGUAAAGCGCACGCAGGCGGAUUGAUUAGUCAGAGGUGAAAUCCCAGGGCUCAACCUUGGAAUUGCCUUUGAUACUGUCAGUCUUGAGUCCGGGAGAGGUGAGUGGAAUUCCUAGUGUAGAGGUGAAAUUCGU